GAUGAACGCUGGCGGCGUGCCUAAUACAUGCAAGUCGAGCGAACAGAUGAGGAGCUUGCUCCUCUGACGUUAGCGGCGGACGGGUGAGUAACACGUGGAUAACCUACCUAUAAGACUGGGAUAACUUCGGGAAACCGGAGCUAAUACCGGAUAAUAUAUUGAACCGCAUGGUUCAAUAGUGAAAGACGGUUUUGCUGUCACUUAUAGAUGGAUCCGCGCCGCAUUAGCUAGUUGGUAAGGUAACGGCUUACCAAGGCAACGAUGCGUAGCCGACCUGAGAGGGUGGUCGGCCACACUGGAGCUGAGACACGGUCCAGACUCCUACGGGAGGCAGCAGUAGGGAAUCUUCCGCAAUGGGCGAAAGCCGGACGGAGCAACGCCGCGUGAGUGAUGAAGGUCUUCGGAUCGUAAAACUCUGUUAUUAGGGAAGAACAAAUGUGUAAGUAACUAUGCACGUCUUGACGGUACCUAAUCAGAAAGCCACGGCUAACUACGUG
Molecule: ribosomal RNA, 497 nt
Filed under: uncultured bacterium
Lineage: Bacteria
Description: partial 16S ribosomal RNA
Rfam family: Bacterial small subunit ribosomal RNA
Source: RNAcentral